Molecule: non-coding RNA, 131 nt
Filed under: Chloroflexota bacterium
Lineage: Bacteria; Bacillati; Chloroflexota
Description: Chloroflexi bacterium SAM-I sequence
Rfam family: SAM riboswitch aptamer (S box leader)
About the family: The SAM riboswitch is found upstream of a number of genes which code for proteins involved in methionine or cysteine biosynthesis in Gram-positive bacteria. The SAM riboswitch acts at the level of transcription termination control.
Source: RNAcentral
CUCUUAUCCAGAGAGGUGGAGGGACCGGCCCAUUGAAACCUCGGCAACCUGACAGCGAUAACGGCUAAUUAUUCAGGCUCAUCGCAUUCAAGGUGCCAACUCCGGCAGAGGUAUUUUCUGGAAGAUGAGAG